Non-coding RNA from Macrostomum lignano, 1718 nucleotides. The record is from Rfam. Lineage: Eukaryota; Metazoa; Platyhelminthes; Macrostomidae.
UGACCUCGGAUCAGACGUGAUUACCGCUGAAUUUAGCAUAAUUAUUAAGCGGAGGAAAAGAAACUAACAAGGGAUUCCCCUAGUUAACGCGCGAUAGUGAACGGGGAAGACCACACCGAAUCCCUUGUCGCGCAAGUCAACGAAAUGUGGUGUUAAGGUAGCCCUUCGUGUCAGUCUAGGGGUCUCAAAGUACACGUCUGAUUGUGGCUCAAGCCCAGAGAGUGUGUAAGGCCCGUAGAGACGCUUUCCUACAUUUGAUUCCUGGGUUUACCUACGAGUCGGCUUGUUUGGGAAUGCAGGCCAAAGCGGGUGGUAAACUCAUCCAAGGGCUAAUACUGGCACGAGUCCGAUAGCGGACAAGCUACACCGUGAGGGAAAGUUGAAAAGAACUUUGAAGAGAGAGUUCAAUAGUACGUGAAACCGCUUAGAAGGCAAACGGAUGGUCUGCUCAUAUUGGCCUGAGGAAUUCAACUGUGACGGUGGCUGGACGAGCUGGCGUUCCGAUCUCUUUUUUGGGAGCGGGCGUCGGUUUGGCUAUCAGCUCCGACCAUUGGUGCACUUUCCUUGGUGCUCCGCCACGACGACGGACACUGGCUACGCGGCUGUGGGUAGGUGACAAACUGCUUCGGCAAUUUGUGUUAUAGACCCCGGGAUUCGGACAUUGGUUUGGCCAGGACGUCGAGCUUGCGGCGCCCCGCUCCUUGUGGGCUGCAAUGUUGGCUAGACUUGGCUGCGGCCGAUGCUUGCACUGGAAACGCAGUACAGGUGACGGUUGUGUGGUCUUGUCUCUAUGUUGGCCUCUGCGAGUUUGGCGCCCUAUAUGUCUGUGGUGUAUUGUGGGUAGACCUAUCGACCCGUUUUGAAACACGGACAGGAGUCUCUAACAUGUGCGCGAGUCAUGGGGAUUUCUACGAACCGCAAAGGCGCAGUGAAAGUAAAGGCCUGCUUCUGACGUAGGGGCUGAGGUGGGAUCUCGUGGCAUUCGCGAAAUUGGCGAGCGCACACCGGCCGCGUCUAUCUGGUCUUGUCAGUGGGGCGGCGCAAGAGCGUACACCACACGUUGGGACCCGAAGAUGGUGGAAUAGUGAACUUAAUGCUUGCGCUCAGCUCGAAGUCAGUGGAAACACCUGAUGGAGGAGCGCAGCGUUUUCAAUGAGUGCAAAUCGAUCGUAAAACGUGAAGUAUAGGGCAAAGACUAAUCGAAACGCAUCGUAGUAGCUUGGUUCCUCCGAAGUUUCCUCUCAGGAUUAGCUGGCACUCGCGGAAACAGUUUUAUCCGGUUAAGCGAAUGAUUAGAGCAUUGGUCGGUCGAAACGACUCGACUAUUCUCAAAACUUUAAAUGGGUUAAGUUGCCUCGUCUCGCGUUAAUUGGAGGCGGGCUUCACUCUCUAUAACGUGAAUGUGAGUGCCAUGUGGGCAUUUUUGGUAAGGCAAGAAUGGCGCUGUUGGGAAAUGAAGCCAAACGCGCGGUUGAAGGCGCCCAAUGCGGACGCUCAUGACGGACACCACAAAAGGUGUUGGUCCGAUACUGACAGCAGGAUCGGUACUGGCCAUGGAAGUCGGACAUGGAACGCUAAGGAGUGUGUAACUCACCUGCGAAUCCACUCAGCCUGAAAGCCUGGAUGGCGCUGGAGCGUCGGGCCUAUACCGUGCCGUUGGGCGAAAGCAGAUCAAUAAUCCUGUGUGGAUGUCCCAACGAGUAGGAGGGUCGCCGGUG